CAAUAGCGUAUAUUAAAGUUGUUGCAGUUAAAAGCUCGUAGUUGGACCUCUGGGAGGGACCCAAUGUCCGCCGUGUGCGUGCGCAGCGGGGCCCUUCCAUCCUUCUGUUAACGUUUCUCGGUAUUCGCUUACUGGUUUCGGGCUCAGAUAUUUUACCUUGAGAAAAUUAGAGUGUUUCAGGCAGGCUUGCGCCGGAAUACAUUAGCAUGGAAUAAUGAGAUAGGACCUUGGUUCUAUUUUGUUGGUUUCUAGAGCUGAGGUAAUGAUUAAUAGGGAUAGUUGGGGGCAUUCGUAUUUAAUUGUCAGAGGUGAAAUUCUUGGAUUUAUUAAAGACGGACUACUGCGAAAGCAUUUGCCAAGGAUGUUUUCAUUGAUCAAGAACGAAAGUUAGGGGAUCGAAGACGAUUAGAUACCA
RNAcentral lists this ribosomal RNA (415 nucleotides) under uncultured eukaryote. RNAcentral's name for it is "bacterial SSU rRNA". It matches the Rfam family "Eukaryotic small subunit ribosomal RNA", at positions 592 to 1017 of the family's 1831-position model. The record is from RNAcentral.